This 538-nucleotide ribosomal RNA is filed under the name uncultured archaeon. RNAcentral's name for it is "bacterial SSU rRNA". It matches the Rfam family "Archaeal small subunit ribosomal RNA", at positions 337 to 879 of the family's 1478-position model. The record is from RNAcentral.
AGGCGCGAAAACUUUGCAACGUUGGAAACCGUGACAGGGGAACUCCGAGUGCCCGUUAAAUCGGGCUGUCCAUCAGUUUAAAUAACUGGUGAAGAAAGGGCCGGGCAAGACCGGUGCCAGCCGCCGCGGUAAUACCGGCGGCUCGAGUGGUGGCCACUAUUACUGGGCUUAAAGCGUUCGUAGCUGGUUUGUUAAGUCUCUGGGGAAAUCUUCCGGCUUAACCGGAAGGCGUCUCAGGGAUACUGGCAGACUAGGGACCGGGAGAGGUGAGGGGUACUCCAGGGGUAGGAGUGGAAUCCUGUAAUCCUUGGGGGACCACCUGUGGCGAAGGCGCCUCACCAGAACGGCUCCGACAGUGAGGGACGAAAGCUGGGGGAGCAAACCGGAUUAGAUACCCGGGUAGUCCCAGCUGUAAACGAUGCGCGUUAGGUGUAUCGGUGACCACGAGUCACCGAGGUGCCGAAGAGAAAUCGUGAAACGUGCCGCCUGGGAAGUACGGUCGCAAGGCUGAAACUUAAAGGAAUUGGCGGGGGAGCAC